RNAcentral lists this long non-coding RNA (1490 nucleotides) under Marmota monax (woodchuck). Lineage: Eukaryota; Metazoa; Chordata; Mammalia; Rodentia; Sciuridae. The record is from RNAcentral.
CUACCAUUAUGUUCAAUUAAAAUGUACCAAUAAAAAUGUGGGAAAAAAAGCAAAAAGAAAAAAAAGGUUUGAGAUUUAAUAAAUCUUAGAGUUUUUGAUAUUGCCCUUAUAAAUGACAGGACUAGCGCUGUGAUUGUUCAGCCUAUUAUGUUUUUAACAUACCUUGGUAUAUUUUUUUCUUAACAUAUUUAAUGUCAGGUAUAAUCUCUAAGGUCUCUAACUUUAAAAUCCCCAAAUUGUUUGCUUGGAUUCAGGGAAAAUAAGUACUGCUAUAAUAUAAUAGUAGCAAGUGGUUUCAGUUAUAAGAUGAAAGCUUCUCAGAGUGAUGCUUUCUCCUUUAUUCCUCCAUUUAACAAAUUUCAUGGCAGAAGAUUCUGAACAAUUGUGUGAGUAAAUAAGUGGAACUAUCAGUGCAUAGCUCUUAGGUUACAUCUUUUGGAUUUAUUAUCUCCUUGGUACAUUCUGAAGACCUUAUAAAAGCUAUUAGAAAUCCACACAAAUACUACAUUAAUUCCAAAGGUUGGGUAAAUCAGACCCAGGAAUCUGCAUUUGGAAACAUCCUCCAAGUGAUUCUAAUGGAGGUGAAUCAUGGAUCUUUACUUUGAGGUCUUUGAAGGUUCUGGCCUAUCUCUAGAGUAAGGAUAUGACUUUGAGAGCUCAUGCUCUAUCAAGGUAAGCAGAGACAUAGAAAUUAUUUCUAAUACAAACAGAUAAGUGCUAUAUGGGCAUAAGAUUAUGUGGAAGAAAGCUGUAUGUGACAGGAUUUUUUUUUAAUUUUACAAAUUAAAAAAAAUUAAUUUUUUAACUUUUAGUUUUUAAAUUUUUUUAAAUUUAAAAGUAGCUGAAUUUUUAAAUUUUUAAAAAUUUUUAUUAGUUGUUGAUGAAUUUUUAUUUUAUUUUAUUUGUAUGUGGUGCUGAGAAUUGAACCCAGUAUGUCACACAUGCUAGGCAAGCACUCUACCACUGAGCCACAACCCCAGUCCCAAGUAGCUGAUUUUUAUAAUAUAAUUUGUUUGCUAGAAGAAUUUUUUUACCUUAGUUGAAUAGACUUCUUGAUUGACACUAUGGAUUAACCCAUGAGAUUGAUUUUGUCUCAGUUUACAUACAGUAUUUAAUGCUUACUGAUGAUACAAAUAAACAUUGGUUAUUUAUUUACCCUUGUUAGUAUUUUAUCCUCUUCUAGUUUUGCAGGUGAUAAUCCUCUGAAACAAUCAAUGGUUUCCAAAGAACAUUUUUGCUUUUAGUAGAAUGGAAUUCACAUGCAUGAUAAGAUUGGCCUCUCUAAUGACAGUAAUAUCAGUGGGUCUAAGCUUGAGAAAGUGGUACAUGAAUUCUCCUUGUAUAGAUUUUUUUCUUAGUCUUCCUUCAUGAAGUGGGUAAAUAUUGGACAUGUGUUAUUCUUUAUUAUCUUAUGUGUCAUUUAAAAAUAUGUGGGAAACAAUGUUUCUGAUUUUUAAAAAUUAUAGACCCAAUGAAAAAAUAAAAUCACA